Paramuricea clavata is the source of this 90-nucleotide non-coding RNA. Lineage: Eukaryota; Metazoa; Cnidaria; Anthozoa; Malacalcyonacea; Plexauridae. The record is from the annotation of a GenBank genome assembly.
AUGUUAGCUCCUCAGGUGCAUAUUUACAAUGAGUGGAAUUUAGUUGUAAAUAUUGAACUCAUUGUAAAUAUGCACCUGAGGAGCUAACAU